This 404-nucleotide ribosomal RNA is filed under the name uncultured bacterium. RNAcentral's name for it is "partial 16S ribosomal RNA". It matches the Rfam family "Bacterial small subunit ribosomal RNA", at positions 30 to 526 of the family's 1533-position model. The record is from RNAcentral.
AUUGAACGCUAGCGGCAGGCCUAACACAUGCAAGUCGAGCUAGCGGCGGACGGGUGAGUAAUUUCUGGGAACCUGCCCGAUGGCGGGGGAUAACUACUGGAAACGGUAGCUAAUACCGCAUACCAUUGGCUGGGCCCAGAUCGGAGUAUCUAGUAGGUGGGGUACUGGCUCACCAGGGCAACGAUCCCUAGCUGGUCUGAGAGGAUGACCAGCCACACUGGAACUGAGACACGGGCCAGACUCCGACGGGAGACAUCAGUAGGAAAUAUUGGACAAUGGGGGCAAGCCUGAUGCAGCCAUGCCGCGUGUGUGAGGAAGGCCUGCGGGUGGUAAAGCACUUUUAGCAGGGAGGGGUACUCGCAGGGAAGCACCGGCUAACUCCGUGCCAGCAGCCGCGGUAAUUC